Molecule: ribosomal RNA, 529 nt
Filed under: uncultured bacterium
Lineage: Bacteria
Description: bacterial SSU rRNA
Rfam family: Bacterial small subunit ribosomal RNA
Source: RNAcentral
AAUAGAUACCCGGGUAGUCCACGCCGUAAACGAUGAGUGCUAAGUGUUAGGGGGUUUCCACCCCUUAGUGCUGCAGCUAACGCAUUAAGCACUCCGCCUGGGGAGUACGGUCGCAAGACUGAAACUCAAAGGAAUUGACGGGGGCCCGCACAAGCGGUGGAGCAUGUGGUUUAAUUCGAAGCAACGCGAAGAACCUUACCAGGUCUUGACAUCCCGGUGACCGCUCUAGAGAUAGAGCUUUCCCUUCGGGGACAGCGGUGACAGGUGGUGCAUGGUUGUCGUCAGCUCGUGUCGUGAGAUGUUGGGUUAAGUCCCGCAACGAGCGCAACCCUUGUUCUUAGUUGCCAUCAUUCAGUUGGGCACUCUAAGGAGACUGCCGCAGACAAUGCGGAGGAAGGUGGGGAUGACGUCAAAUCAUCAUGCCCCUUAUGACCUGGGCUACACACGUGCUACAAUGGACGGUACAAACGGUUGCUAAGUCGCGAGACGGAGCUAAUCCGAGAAAACCGUUCUCAGUUCGGAUUGCAGG